GACGAACGCUGGCGGCGUGCUUAACACAUGCAAGUCGAACGGAAAGGCCCUGCUCUUGUGGUGUGCUCGUGUGGCGAACGGGUGAGUAACACGUGUGUAACCUGCCCUUGACUUUGGGAUAUCUUCAGGAAACUGGGGCUAAUACCGGAUAGGAUCUCCUGCUGCAUGGUGGGGGUUGGAGAGUUUCGGCGGUUGGGGAUGGACUCGCGGCUUAUCAGCUUGUUGGUGGGGUAGUGGCUUACCAAGGCUUUGACGGGUAGCCGGCCUGAGAGGGUGACCGGCCACAUUGGGACUGAGAUACGGCCCAGACUCCUACGGGAGGCAGCAGUGGGGAAUAUUGCACAAUGGGCGGAAGCCUGAUGCAGCAACGCCGCGUGCGGGAUGACGGCCUUCGGGUUGUAAACCGCUUUCGCCUGUGACGAAGCGUGAGUGACGGUAAUGGGUAAAGAAGCACCGGCUAACUACGUG
RNAcentral lists this ribosomal RNA (468 nucleotides) under uncultured bacterium. RNAcentral describes it as "partial 16S ribosomal RNA". It matches the Rfam family "Bacterial small subunit ribosomal RNA", at positions 28 to 507 of the family's 1533-position model. The record is from RNAcentral.